UGGGGAAUAUUGGACAAUGGGCGCAAGCCUGAUCCAGCCAUGCCGCGUGAGUGAUGACGGCCUUAGGGUUGUAAAGCUCUUUCGCACGCGACGAUAAUGACGGUAGCGUGAGAAGAAGCCCCGGCUAACUUCGUGCCAGCAGCCGCGGUAAUACGAAGGGGGCUAGCGUUGUUCGGAAUCACUGGGCGUAAAGGGUGCGUAGGCGGGAUCUUAAGUCAGGGGUGAAAUCCCGAGGCUCAACCUCGGAACUGCCUUUGAUACUGGGGUCCUUGAGUCCGGAAGAGGUGAGUGGAACUGCGAGUGUAGAGGUGAAAUUCGUAGAUAUUCGCAAGAACACCGGUGGCGAAGGCGGCUCACUGGUCCGGAACUGACGCUGAGGCACGACAGCGUGGGGAGCAAA
This 400-nucleotide ribosomal RNA is filed under the name uncultured bacterium. RNAcentral's name for it is "bacterial SSU rRNA". It matches the Rfam family "Bacterial small subunit ribosomal RNA", at positions 355 to 772 of the family's 1533-position model. The record is from RNAcentral.